This 253-nucleotide ribosomal RNA is filed under the name uncultured bacterium. RNAcentral describes it as "partial 16S ribosomal RNA". It matches the Rfam family "Bacterial small subunit ribosomal RNA", at positions 524 to 776 of the family's 1533-position model. The record is from RNAcentral.
UACGUAGGGUGCAAGCGUUGUCCGGAAUUAUUGGGCGUAAAGAGCUCGUAGGCGGUUUGUCGCGUCUGCUGUGAAAACUCGGGGCUUAACCCCGGGCCUGCAGUGGGUACGGGCAGACUAGAGUGCGGUAGGGGAGACUGGAAUUCCUGGUGUAGCGGUGAAAUGCGCAGAUAUCAGGAGGAACACCGGUGGCGAAGGCAGGUCUCUGGGCCGUAACUGACGCUGAGGAGCGAAAGCAUGGGGAGCGAACAGG